GUAGGUGAACCUGCGGAAGGAUCAUUAAAGUUAUAGUCCCCUGGCCCUCUGGGCUGGGGUCUUCUAUACCACCCUUUGUUUAUUACACCUUUGUUGCUUUGGCAGGCCUGCCCUCGGGCUGCUGGCUCCGGCCGGCUCGUGCCUGCCAGAGGACCUAAACUCUGUUUGUAUAUGAAGUCUGAGUACUAUAUAAUAGUUAAAACUUUCAACAACGGAUCUCUUGGUUCUG
RNAcentral lists this unclassified non-coding RNA (229 nucleotides) under rhizosphere metagenome. Its description in RNAcentral is "partial ribosomal RNA internal transcribed spacer region". The record is from RNAcentral.